AUACUUACCUGGCAAGGGAGAUACCAUGAUCGUGAAGGUGGUUCUUCCAGGGUAAGGCUCAGCCAUUGCACUAAAAUAUGUCUAGAAUUUGUCCCUUUAUUCCAGUUUUAGUAUAUGUGCUGCCGAAGCGAGCACUUGUCCCUUUAU
RNAcentral lists this small nuclear RNA (147 nucleotides) under Zalophus californianus (California sea lion). RNAcentral's name for it is "U1 spliceosomal RNA (ENSZCAG00015012884.1)". The stretch from base 1 to 129 matches the Rfam family "U1 spliceosomal RNA". Rfam says of the family: U1 is a small nuclear RNA (snRNA) component of the spliceosome (involved in pre-mRNA splicing). The record is from RNAcentral. Lineage: Eukaryota; Metazoa; Chordata; Mammalia; Carnivora; Otariidae.